RNAcentral lists this ribosomal RNA (550 nucleotides) under uncultured Suillus. Its description in RNAcentral is "eukaryotic LSU rRNA". The stretch from base 173 to 327 matches the Rfam family "5.8S ribosomal RNA". Lineage: Eukaryota; Fungi; Basidiomycota; Agaricomycetes; Boletales; Suillaceae. The record is from RNAcentral.
CUGGCCUUUUUCCGAGGCACGUGCACCCUUAAAGGGGAACUCUCGCCGUAUGGGCGCGGGGCAACCCGCGUCUUUCAUACCACCUCUUCGUGUAGAAAGUCUUUGAAUGUUUUUACCAUCAUCGAGUCGCGACUUCUAGGAGACGCGAUUCUUUGAGACAAAAGUUUAUUACAACUUUCAGCAAUGGAUCUCUUGGCUCUCGCAUCGAUGAAGAACGCAGCGAAUCGCGAUAUGUAAUGUGAAUUGCAGAUCUACAGUGAAUCAUCGAAUCUUUGAACGCACCUUGCGCUCCUCGGUGUUCCGAGGAGCAUGCCUGUUUGAGCGUCAGUAAAUUCUCAACCCCUCUCGAUUUGCUUCGAGAGGGUGCUUGGAUGGUGGGGGCUGCCGGAGACCUGGAUUUAUCCUGGACUCGGGCUCUCCUGAAAUGCAUCGGCUUGCGGUCGACUUUCGACUUUGCGCGACAAGGCCUUCGGCGUGAUAAUGAUCGCCGUUCGCCGAAGCGCAUGAAUGAACGGUCCCGCGCCUCUAAUCAGUCGACGCCUUCUGGGCG